AUUGAACGCUGGCGGCAGGCUUAACACAUGCAAGUCGAACGAGUGGCGGACGGGUGAGUAAUGCUUGGGAAUCUGGCUUAUGGAGGGGGAUAACUACGGGAAACUGUAGCUAAUACCGCAUACCAUAGGAUGAGCCCAAGUGGGAUUAGGUAGUGGGUGGGGUAAAGGCUCACCAAGGCGACGAUCCCUAGCUGGUCUGAGAGGAUGACCAGCCACACUGGAACUGAGACACGGCCCAGACUCCUACGGGAGGCAGCAGUGGGGAAUAUUGCGCAAUGGGCGCAACCCUGAUGCAGCCAUGCCGCGUGAAUGAAGAAGGCCUUCGGGUUGUAAAGUUCUUUCGGUAGCGAGGCGUUACUUACAGAAGAAGCACCGGCUAACUCCGUGCCAGCAGCCGCGGUAAUUC
This 406-nucleotide ribosomal RNA is filed under the name uncultured bacterium. RNAcentral's name for it is "partial 16S ribosomal RNA". It matches the Rfam family "Bacterial small subunit ribosomal RNA", at positions 30 to 526 of the family's 1533-position model. The record is from RNAcentral.